CAAAUGAUAUGAUCAGUAGGCUUUUGAACCAGAAUCCAUGAGUGAAUUAAGUGAGGGUCAAAAUUAAGAAUCUCUUUCUUUCCUCAUUGUCUGUGGGAAAUCUUCAUGGUGUACCAUCCUUACUCAUUUCCAGGAUCCUGAAAUUGAACUCUCCAUAUGGUUUUCUGUUCAGACCUUCAAGCUCUCUAUAAUGCACAGACUGCAUUACGAGUGUCUGAGAGUUGAAGUUUCAGUGAAACAGGCUCUUUCUAAUAAAUGAUAAAGCCCACAGUAGGUCAGGUAGGAGCAGAGUGGAGGAGGGUAGUGGAGGAGGCUCUCAUGCUGUCAGCAGGGUGUGCUGAGGACAUCACUGGUACCCUAGCAUUUGUGACCAGGGAGGCCAUCUAUAGCCGUGGAAGACCAUUACAAGAGACUGGUCAUGGGGAGCAAGCUACUUCCGGAGAGCUUCCUUUUUGCGUUGAAUAAAUAAGACUUGCCUUUUCACAAUAAAACGCUAUUGUUUCUUUCAUUUACAUGUUCCAUGGAAAUGACCUCAGAAGAUUUUGUGACAUCAGGAUAUUCAUGGGCAGGGGAGGAAGAGCACAGCUACAUCUUUCAGUAAGAAGAAGAACAACAACCAUCUGGAGUGAGCAAUUUCACAUCCAGGUCAAUACCCUGAGGAAACUCCUACUUGUGUUGCAGAAGAAAACUGAGAAUUCUGGAACAAAGCACAGGAAAUAGCUCCCAUGUUCAUCAAAUGAAGAGUUGAUAAGUUAGGGUAUAUAGGUACAGGGGGUUACUGCACCAUAUGGGCAGCUAUGCACAUUGGCAGGGAUGAAUGGCACUGUGGAAUAAAA
This is a long non-coding RNA of Lontra canadensis (Northern American river otter), 836 nucleotides long. RefSeq lists it as uncharacterized. The record is from RefSeq and is a predicted model, not a curated record. NCBI's taxonomy places the organism in Eukaryota, Metazoa, Chordata, Mammalia, Carnivora, Mustelidae. The transcript has 2 exons.